RNAcentral lists this ribosomal RNA (301 nucleotides) under uncultured bacterium. Its description in RNAcentral is "partial 16S ribosomal RNA". It matches the Rfam family "Bacterial small subunit ribosomal RNA", at positions 509 to 807 of the family's 1533-position model. The record is from RNAcentral.
CAGUCGCCGCGGGAAUACGGAGGGAGCUAGCGUUGUUCGGAAUCACUGGGCGUAAAGCGCACGUAGGCGGCUAUUCAAGUCAGGGGUGAAAGCCCGGGGCUCAACCCCGGAACUGCCUUUGAAACUAGAUAGCUUGAAUCUUGGAGAGGCGAGUGGAAUUCCGAGUGUAGAGGUGAAAUUCGUAGAUAUUCGGAAGAACACCAGUGGCGAAGGCGACUCGCUGGACAAGUAUUGACGCUGAGGUGCGAAAGCGUGGGGAGCAAACAGGAUUAGAUACCCCUGUAGUCCCUGUCUCUUAUAC